CGUAGGCAGCGAGCGUUGUUCGGAGUUACUGGGCGUAAAGAGUGCGUAGGCGGUUGGCUAAGUUUGGUGUGAAAUCUCCCGGCUCAACUGGGAGGGUGCGCCGAAAACUGGCUGGCUGGAGUGUGGGAGAGGCUAGCGGAAUUCCUGGUGUAGCGGUGAAAUGCGUAGAUAUCAGGAGGAACACCUGCGGUGUAGACGGCUGGCUGGACCACUACUGACGCUGAGGCACGAAAGCGUGGGGAGCAAACAGGAUUAGAUACCCUGGUAGUCCACGCCCUAAACGAUGCAUACUUAGUGUGGGCAGUUCAUUCUGUCCGUGCCGGAGCUAACGCGUUAAGUAUGCCGCCUGGGGAGUACGGUCGCAAGGCUG
This 370-nucleotide ribosomal RNA is filed under the name uncultured organism. Its description in RNAcentral is "bacterial SSU rRNA". It matches the Rfam family "Bacterial small subunit ribosomal RNA", at positions 526 to 896 of the family's 1533-position model. The record is from RNAcentral.